Molecule: ribosomal RNA, 519 nt
Filed under: uncultured eukaryote
Lineage: Eukaryota
Description: SSU rRNA
Rfam family: Eukaryotic small subunit ribosomal RNA
Source: RNAcentral
AGGGCACUACCAGGGGUGGAUCCUGCGGCUCAAUUUGACUCAACACGGGAAAGCUCACCUGGUCCGGACACUGGAAGGAUUGACAGAUUAAGAGCUCUUUCUUGAUUCAGUGGGUGGUGGUGCAUGGCCGUUCUUAGUUGGUGGAGCGAUUUGUCUGGUUAAUUCCGAUAACGAACGAGACUCUAGCCUACUAAAUAGGUGUUCCGAUCCCAUCAGUCGGACGCUCUUCUUAGAGGGACAAGCGGCGUUUAGCCGCACGAGACAGAGCAAUAACAGGUCUGUGAUGCCCUUAGAUGUCCGGGGCCGCACGCGCGCUACACUGAAGGAACCAGCGUGUGUCCCUGUCCGGCAGGACUGGGUAAUCCGUUGAACCUCCUUCGUGAUAGGGAUAGGGGCUUGUAAUUGUUCCCCUUGAACGAGGAAUUCCCAGUAAGCGUGAAUCAUCAGUUCACGUUGAUUACGUCCCUGGCCUUUGUACACACCGCCCGUCGCUACUACUGAUUGGAUGAUUUAGUGAGG